This 468-nucleotide ribosomal RNA is filed under the name uncultured bacterium. RNAcentral describes it as "partial 16S ribosomal RNA". It matches the Rfam family "Bacterial small subunit ribosomal RNA", at positions 28 to 507 of the family's 1533-position model. The record is from RNAcentral.
GACGAACGCUGGCGGCGUGCUUAACACAUGCAAGUCGAACGGAAAGGCCCUGCUUUUGUGGGUUGCUCGAGUGGCGAACGGGUGAGUAACACGUGAGUAACCUGCCCUUGACUUUGGGAUAACUUCAGGAAACUGGGGCUAAUACCGGAUAGGAGCUCCUGCUGCAUGGUGGGGGUUGGAAAGUUUCGGCGGUUGGGGAUGGACUCGCGGCUUAUCAGCUUGUUGGUGGGGUAGUGGCUUACCAAGGCUUUGACGGGUAGCCGGCCUGAGAGGGUGACCGGCCACAUUGGGACUGAGAGACGGCCCAGACGCCUACGGGAGGCAGCAGUGGGGAAUAUUGCACAAUGGGCGGAAGCCUGAUGCAGCAACGCCGCGUGCGGGAUGACGGCCUUCGGGUUGUAAACCGAUUUCGCCUGUGACGAAGCGUGAGUGACGGUAAUGGGUAAAGAAGCACCGGCUAACUACGUG